AACGCUGGCGGCGUGCCUAAUACAUGCAAGUCGAGCGAACAGACAAGGAGCUUGCUCCUUUGACGUUAGCGGCGGACGGGUGAGUAACACGUGGGUAACCUACCUAUAAGACUGGGAUAACUUCGGGAAACCGGAGCUAAUACCGGAUAAUAUUUCGAACCGCAUGGUUCGAUAGUGAAAGAUGGUUUUGCUAUCACUUAUAGAUGGACCCGCGCCGUAUUAGCUAGUUGGUAAGGUAACGGCUUACCAAGGCGACGAUACGUAGCCGACCUGAGAGGGUGAUCGGCCACACUGGAACUGAGACACGGUCCAGACUCCUACGGGAGGCAGCAGUAGGGAAUCUUCCGCAAUGGGCGAAAGCCUGACGGAGCAACGCCGCGUGAGUGAUGAAGGUCUUCGGAUCGUAAAACUCUGUUAUUAGGGAAGAACAUACGUGUAAGUAACUAUGCACGUCUUGACGGUACCUAAUCAGAAAGCCACGGCUAACUACGUGCCAGCAGCCGCGGUAAUACGUAGGUGGCAAGCGUUAUCCGGAAUUAUUGGGCGUAAAGCGCGCGUAGGCGGUUUUUUAAGUCUGAUGUGAAAGCCCACGGCUCAACCGUGGAGGGUCAUUGGAAACUGGAAAACUUGAGUGCAGAAGAGGAAAGUGGAAUUCCAUGUGUAGCGGUGAAAUGCGCAGAGAUAUGGAGGAACACCAGUGGCGAAGGCGACUUUCUGGUCUGUAACUGACGCUGAUGUGCGAAAGCGUGGGGAUCAAACAGGAUUAGAUACCCUGGUAGUCCACGCCGUAAACGAUGAGUGCUAAGUGUUAGGGGGUUUCCGCCCCUUAGUGCUGCAGCUAACGCAUUAAGCACUCCGCCUGGGGAGUACGACCGCAAGGU
Molecule: ribosomal RNA, 881 nt
Filed under: Staphylococcus haemolyticus
Lineage: Bacteria; Bacillati; Bacillota; Bacilli; Caryophanales; Staphylococcaceae
Description: bacterial SSU rRNA
Rfam family: Bacterial small subunit ribosomal RNA
Source: RNAcentral